This 1037-nucleotide long non-coding RNA is filed under the name Carica papaya (papaya). Its description in RNAcentral is "long non-coding RNA (CPAP_LNC003484)". Lineage: Eukaryota; Viridiplantae; Streptophyta; Magnoliopsida; Brassicales; Caricaceae. The record is from RNAcentral.
UUGACUUUUGCAUUGUUUUGUUCCAGCAUGAGAAAAAUGCUACCAUUAUUUCUGAAGUUCUGGAGAAAGCAAAGGAUGUGAUGCUGGUUUCCCAUUUGACAAGUGCAACCGAAAAUGCUGAAGUAAUGACUAGAAAUUCCCAAGUUAUGGAGAAAGCGAAAGAUAUGAUGACAAGAGCAGCAGAAACUGCUAAAAAUGUUUCUAAUCAAGAAAUGAAAGAUGCUAUUACUCCACCGAGCACUAGUGUUCAAACCAACUUGCCUUCUACCGAGAGAAAGAAACUCGAAGAUCGCAAAAAAGAGUGAUGAUAUUCUUCCUUCGCUAGCAUUUGAGAUGACAUGCCAUUUUGAUCGCAGUUGGUGUGAUUGAUAGGUCUGAUGUUUGACUUUUUUGUUGGUUUUUUUUAAAAAGAAAAUGGUUCCAUAAUAUGAUUUUAAACACACCAUUCUUCUAAUUGCCAAAUUUGAAUACAUAUAUAUAUACAUAUGGUGGCAUUUGGCAUCCAAUGCACAAGAAGCACAAGGGUAUUAAUUGUUUAGCAGCUCACAUUCCUCUGUUUCUUUUCUGGUCCAGAAGAGAACCAACUAAAUACUCCAUUUCUAACCGGGAUCGUGUAACCUAAAGCUUUACACUAUUAACGAAAUGGGAAAGCAUCAAAAUUUAUCACCUUUCAAGUGUCAUAAAAUUCUGCAAUAAUCAAAUUUUAUUACCCACAAUGGCCUUAAAAUUUAUUACAUAAUAUGUGGUAGAACAAACCUACAAGGGGUUCACUUCAAGGCAUCAUCAAAAUUUACAUUUUGGAACAACAAACAGUGAUUGUCGCCAUGGCUCUGCAUCCAUCUAAUGUUCUUUUUCUUCCUUGAAGCUCUCAUCAAGAGAAGUAGACAAGUCAAAAUUUUUUACUUCGGGUGUCUGUAAAGCUUCAUCAUUAUCGUAGUCCCCAUCACAUCCUCCAUCAUCUGGUUGUGGAGAUGAGAAGUCCAAGCACAGUCCUUGAAUUACUUGCUCAUAUGAAUCAGAGAGAUCUUGGGAAGUUA